Molecule: ribosomal RNA, 1961 nt
Filed under: human gut metagenome
Description: bacterial LSU rRNA
Rfam family: Bacterial large subunit ribosomal RNA
Source: RNAcentral
GAAAGUAAAUAAGGGCGUAUGGGGAAUGCCUAGGCUCUUGGAGGCGAAGAAAGACGUGGUAAGCUGCGAAAAGCUCCGGGGAUUUGCAAACAAGAUUUGAUCCGGAGAUUUCUGAAUGGGACAACCCGUCAGGUAGAAGACCUGACACAUCGUAAGAUGGGCCAACCCUCUGAACUGAAACAUCUUAGUAGGAGGAGGAAAAGAAAGAAAUAUCGAUUUCCUGAGUAGCGGCGAGCGAAAGGGAAAAAGCCUAAACCGGUAUUGUUACGGCAAUGCCGGGGUUGUAGGACUGCAACAUUCAAGUAACAAUGAACUGGAACGAUCUGGAAAGUUCGUCCAUAGAGGGUGAAAGGCCCGUACAGGUAAGUUCGUUAUGCGAUAGCAGUAUCCUGAGUAGGGCGGGACACGAGGAAUCCUGUCUGAAUCUGCCGGGACCACCCGGUAAGGCUAAAUACUCCCAAGAGACCGAUAGUGAACCAGUACCGUGAGGGAAAGGUGAAAAGAACCCCGAACAGGGGAGUGAAAUAGAACCUGAAACCAUACGCUUACAACCGGUCGGAGCAGCUUCGUGCUGUGACGGCGUGCCUAUUGAAUAAUGAGCCUACGAGUUACUAAUCACUGGCGAGGUUAAGUGCACGGAUGCACGGAGCCGAAGCGAAAGCGAGUCUGAACAGGGCGGCUAGUCAGUGGUUGUAGACGCGAAACCUUGCGAUCUACCCUUGAGCAGGUUGAAGGUUGGGUAAAACCAACUGGAGGACCGAACGAAUAAGCGUUGAAAAGCUUCUCGAUGACUUGAGGGUAGGGGUGAAAGGCUAAUCAAGCUGGGAAAUAGCUCGUACUCCCCGAAAUGCCUUUAGGGGCAGCGUUGUAAUUAAGAGUCUACUGGAGGUAGAGCUACUGAUUGGAUGCGGGGGCUUCACCGCCUACCAAAUCCUGACAAACUCCGAAUGCCAGUAGUAUGAUUUACAGCAGUGAGCGACCGGGUGCUAAUGUCCGGUUACGAGAGUGGAACAACACAGACCAGCAACUAAGGUCCCGAAGAGUAUACUAAGUUGAUCUAACGAUGUUUUGCUGCAGAGACAGCUAGGAUGUUAGCUUGGAAGCAGCUAUUCAUUCAAAGAGUGCGUAACAGCUCACUAGUCGAGCGGCAAAGCGUGGAUAAUAAACGGGCAUCAAGUAUACCACCGAAGUUCUGGGCACGAGAGUGCGGUAGGGGAGCAUUCCAUUGACGUCGAAGCCAUUCCGCGAGGAUAGGUGGAGUUUAUGGAAAAGCAAAUGUAGGCAUGAGUAACGAUAAUGCGGGAGAGUAACCCGCACACCGCAAGACCAAGGUUUCCUGAUCAACGCUAAUCGGAUCAGGGUUAGUCGGGUCCUAAGGGUAAGCCGAACGGUGAUCUCGAUGGACAAUCGGUUAAUAUUCCGAUACUAACAUAUACCUCGAUGGAGAGACGAAGGAACGUAAGUGACGCCGCCUGACGGAAUAGGUGGUUAAAGGGCGUAGGUAUAGGGACAGAUUAAGAGUUAGUCCUUGCUGAAACCCGACAGUACGGAGCGGCUACGGCCAAUCUGAUAGUUCACCCAAGUCGACUUCCGAGAAAAUCUUCUAAGUUAUAGUAUAUGUUACCCGUACCGUAAACCGACACAGGUGGUCGAGGAGAGUAUCCUAAGGUGCUCGAGUGAAUCACGGUUAAGGAACUAGGCAAAUUAACCCCGUAACUUCGGGAAAAGGGGUCCCUACGCGAGUAGGGCGCAGCGAAGAGGUCCAGGCGACUGUUUAUCAAAAACACAGGGCUCUGCAAAUUCGAAAGAAGACGUAUAGGGCCUGACACCUGCCCGGUGCUGGAAGGUUAAGAGGGGAUGUCAUCGCAAGAGAAGCAUUGAAUCGAAGCCCCAGUAAACGGCGGCCGUAACUAUAACGGUCCUAAGGUAGCGAAAUUCCUUGUCGGGUAAGUUCCGACCUG